UUAGACAUGGUGUAGUCGGAAACACGGCCUCUCAUUGUUGAUUAUCCCUACAAACCAUUGGAGGCAGUCUAGGGUUCGGAUCCCUGUGUCUGAA
Mycena vulgaris is the source of this 94-nucleotide non-coding RNA. Lineage: Eukaryota; Fungi; Basidiomycota; Agaricomycetes; Agaricales; Mycenaceae. The record is from the annotation of a GenBank genome assembly.